GACGAACGCUGGCGGCGUGCUUAACACAUGCAAGUCGAGCGGUAAGGCCCUUUCGGGGGUACGACGAGCGGCGAACGGGUGAGUAACACGUGGGUGACCUGCCCUUAGCUCUGGGAUAAGCCUGGGAAACUGGGUCUAAUACCGGAUAUGACUCCAUGACGCAUGUUGUGGGGUGGAAAGCCUUGUGCGGCUAGGGAUGGGCCCGCGGCCUAUCAGCUUGUUGGUGGGGUGAUGGCCUACCAAGGCGACGACGGGUAGCCGGCCUGAGAGGGCGACCGGCCACACUGGGACUGAGACACGGCCCAGACUCCUACGGGAGGGCAGCAGUGGGGAAUCUUGCGCAAUGGGCGAAAGCCUGACGCAGCGACGCCGCGUGAGGGAUGACGGCCU
Molecule: ribosomal RNA, 390 nt
Filed under: uncultured bacterium
Lineage: Bacteria
Description: bacterial SSU rRNA
Rfam family: Bacterial small subunit ribosomal RNA
Source: RNAcentral